CCUACGGGUGGCUGCAGUAGGGAAUUUUGCGCAAUGGGCGAAAGCCUGACGCAGCAACGCCGCGUGAUCGAUACGCCCUUCGGGUUGUAAAGAUCUGUCAGUGGGACGAAACUUGACGGUACCCACAGAGGAAGCACCGGCUAACUCCGUGCCAGCAGCCGCGGUAAUACGGGGGGUGCAAGCGUUGUCCGGAAUCAUUGGGCGUAAAGAGUUCGUAGGCGGAGGUGCAAGUCAGCGGUCAAAUUGCGGGGCUCAACCCCGUCCUGCCGUUGAAACUGCAUCCCUUGAGUGCGCGAGAAGUAUGCGGAAUGCGUGGUGUAGCGGUGAAAUGCAUAGAUAUCACGCAGAACUCCGAUUGCGAAGACAGCAUGCCGGCGCGCCACUGACGCUCAUGCACGAAAGCGUGGGUAUCGAACAGGAUUAGAUACCCGAGUAGUC
RNAcentral lists this ribosomal RNA (438 nucleotides) under uncultured bacterium. RNAcentral describes it as "partial 16S ribosomal RNA". It matches the Rfam family "Bacterial small subunit ribosomal RNA", at positions 338 to 795 of the family's 1533-position model. The record is from RNAcentral.